Molecule: long non-coding RNA, 3141 nt
Filed under: Gallus gallus (chicken)
Lineage: Eukaryota; Metazoa; Chordata; Aves; Galliformes; Phasianidae
Description: lncRNA (ENSGALG00010022586.1)
Source: RNAcentral
GUAAGUGUUUAUUGAUUACAGUGUCAGAAUUGUUGCAUGUAGUCUCCGUUCGCUCGUCCGGUGUUCGUCCUCUGUCCACAUGUAGGGCUUACUGCUGGGCGAAACCGACCCUUUACCAGGUCGGGGCCAGAUGCUCACCCAGACCCCAGGAGUAAGUGAGGCAAAUGGCGUUUAUUCACUACUAAACACAGCUUAUAUACAUUUUUACCUAGAUAACCGUGCUGUCAUGUCCCACUCUGAUUAGUUCACACCAGAUAACAUUGUGCCUUAUUUGGCCGUUUCCACAUUCUUUUAUCAUCCUUCUUCUUCUCCUGUUUUCUCUGCAACAAGGUCAGCACGAUAGCACUAUCUCUCUAUGUUUAGGGAGAGGCCUGUCCCGUACAUCCCGUGCCCCCGCAAGACGCCUACUACAACAUCUCCCCCUCCCUAAGCUAAAUACUACUUACACACACACCUAACCCGUACAUCGCGAAGCAGCGCAAAACGCCUAAUCCUAAAUAUAUUUCAGCACACUAUUCCUACUAUUUUCUACUACAGUUCUUAAGCAAUCAUCAGAGCAACAGGGAAUUCUUUUCCGUGCUCGGCCAAGCCUUGCCCCGUUACAGCACGAACGCAACAACCUAAACCCUCUAUAAUUUUUCACGCAAUCUAUGAUACUCAAUGUGAUAGUCAAAAGUCUUGUCCAUCAUUCGUUGAAGGCAGUUCUGCAAGCAUCCUACAAAGCAUGGAAGACAGAUUAGAAUACACACAAAGAUUGCAAAUCCUACUGCGAGAGCUUUAAGCAAUUGCUUUAACCAUGAACCCGUUCCCCCAAACAGUCCGUCCAGCCAGCUUCCAAAGGGAUCACGCUCUUCUUUAAUUUUCUGCAUAUGUUCUUGUGUCCAUUGUAGUUGUUUGUGACACUCUGUAAUCGCCAUGGACACCAUAAACAUCGGCAACAUCGGAAGUGUCAGCGUUGCAGGUGUAGUGCUCCUCUUGACGAGUGGUUCUUGAUCCCAUCGUCUGUCCCUCAGUUGUUCUGGAGUUGGCUUCGGUCUGCCAACGAAGAAUUUCUGUAGAAAACUCGCACCUAGACUCAGUUUUUGCAGAUAUGCUACUUAUAUCUGGUAUUACUUUUCGCGAUGGUACCCACAGAAUUUCCCAGAUUCAUGAUAUUUAACUGCUGCAUACCCGACCACGGAUACCCUUUAGCAAGCCCUUCCUGUGAUCAGGAGGCCCUGACUGGCCUCCCCCACAGGGGCAUUGUGCUCUAACAUGGCCAUACUGGCCGUAUCGGAAACACAGCCCUUGCUGCUGCAGCGAUCUUUGCUGUCGCAGGCCAACAGCUACGACAAUAGCUGUGACUAGCCUUUCAUUAGUUAAAUGAGCCACCUUGAGCUUAUCUAAGACAUACUGAAUAACUUCUCCCGAGGUAUUAAGCGUACUUCGGCCGGCUCGCAGCAAUGCCUUAACAUUGUCAUGCGAUUUCUGCUGCAAGCAGUCAAUGAUCACUGGCCCUUGGGCCGGUACCAGGAGAUCAGACCCCUCUGCAGCAGCUAAAAGCCUGUCUGUAAAGCUUUGAAAGGAUUCAUUCGGGCCCUGGGUAAUAUCUGUGCACGGAGUAGGUGGUUCGGCCUUAUGCACAAGUUUAUUAAACGCUUCCACCACUGCAUCUGUGGCUGCUAUUAGCUCCCCUGGCCUUAGUCUCGCUAGCUGGCCCUGGGGCGAAGCCACUCCCACGGCCUUCCCUGAAAGCCGCUGUAUUCCGGUCCCAUGCAGGGAGCAGCCCGGGCCGACCCCUGUCGCCCCGGCACGGCCCCCCAACUCGGCCACCCAGUCCGUCUCCCAUAACGUAUAUUGAACCAGCCUGAGCACCAUACGCAUUAAGUUUGUGAUGUCACGGGGGAAGAGAGGCCCCAGUGCAGCCAAAGUUUGUAGUGCAUUUAAUGUCAGAGGCGAUUUCAGGCCUCUUUUAUCCAUAAAUUCCACCAGGCGCGUAACACCCCCGGGGUCAGGCGGCACCCAUUCGGGACCACGAUCACUCACAAUCACCCGGAAUGCCUCUGGAACUAUACCCUUUCCCAAAGCCUCCGAUCUAAUCCCAUUCCAGUCCGUCAUUUGAUCCUUCCCCCUGCACUCAAAGCCAGUCCCUUCUUUCUCUUCUACACUAUCACUCGCACUACCGCCCCUGGGAGUGACCAGAGACGGUAGGCUAUGCCCCCUGUCCGCAUUGGACGGACCUUUUGUCUGGUCCCUCCCCAUGUGGGCACUAAGUUGAUCCUGCCCGUGUAGAUCACAGCUUCCUCCGCCCCCUUGAGUCAGGUAAUACUGACGUAAUUCUGAUAAAGGAUACAACGUUCCGCCUGAGGGGUGUGGAUACGGGGGAGGGGGACGAGACAACGAACUUUCACUCUCUUGUUGUUUGUCUUCUUUUGAACUGAGCGCGGUCGGCUCAGCCGGCGCCAUCCCGCCAACGGUCAUUGGCGGCUCCGUCUCCUCUCGGCCCCUGCAAGAAACUGCUCCCGAACCCCCAUCGGACCCGACCGGGUCCUGUGUCUCACCUCCUCCGCUGAGACCCAAAAGGUAUCGAGCCUCCACCAAUACCUUUCCCUCAACUCUGGCCGCUUUAAGGGCUCCUAAUAUCAGUCCCCACGUUUUAAGUUCCGUAGCCUUCUGACUGGCCAUGGCGCGCUGGCAUAGCACCGAGGUGAGCAAGUCCCACCUACUCGAAUCCAAAACGUAGCGGGGAGAGUCCAGCUCCCCCAGCUCAUUUAACAGCGACAAAACUGCCGCGAUCUCCUUCCGGGAAGGAGCACAUUUUCCAAAGUAGUCCUUACAAAACUGCACAAGUACCUUAAUGACUUGGUCCAUUGUUACGUAUGCGACCUGCCGCCACCUCACAGGCUCUUAACCGCAAUACGUCUUCCGUGCGCGACCUGCCGCCACCUCACAGGCUCUUCUCCGCGUCACGGGCACGCCGGGCAGCCACCCUCAGCAGACAGAUCACGUCGGGGUCACCACUUGUUGCAUGUAGUCUCCGUUCGCUCGUCCGGUGUUCGUCCUCUGUCCACAUGUAGGGCUUACUGCUGGGCGAAACCGACCCUUUACCAGGUCGGGGCCAGAUGCUCACCCAGACCCCAGGAGUAAGUGAGGCAAAUGGCG